Molecule: ribosomal RNA, 484 nt
Filed under: uncultured bacterium
Lineage: Bacteria
Description: partial 16S ribosomal RNA
Rfam family: Bacterial small subunit ribosomal RNA
Source: RNAcentral
AUUGAACGCUGGCGGCAGGCCUAACACAUGCAAGUCGAGCGGAUGAAGGGAGCUUGCUCCUGGAUUCAGCGGCGGACGGGUGAGUAAUGCCUAGGAAUCUUCCUGGUAGUGGGGGAUAACGUCCGGAAACGGGCGCUAAUACCGCAUACGUCCUGAGGGAGAAAGUGUGGGAUCUUCGGACCUCACGCUAUCACAUGAGCCUAGGUCGGAUUAGCUAGUUGGUGGGGUAAAGGCCUACCAAGGCGACGAUCCGUAACUGGUCUGAGAGGAUGAUCAGUCACACUGGAAGUGAGACACGGUCCAGACUCCUACGGGAGGCAGCAGUGGGGAAUAUUGGACCAUGGGCGAAAGCCUGAUCCAGCCAUGCCGCGUGUGUGAAGAAGGUCUUCGGAUUGUAAAGCACUUUAAGUUGGGAGGAAGGGCAGUAAGUUAAUACCUUGCUGUUUUGACGUUACCAACAGAAUAAGCACCGGCUAACUUCGUG